This 24-nucleotide non-coding RNA is filed under the name Mus musculus (house mouse). Lineage: Eukaryota; Metazoa; Chordata; Mammalia; Rodentia; Muridae. The record is from RNAcentral.
UGAAUGACAGAGACUGACAAGGAG